RNAcentral lists this ribosomal RNA (430 nucleotides) under Agrobacterium tumefaciens. RNAcentral's name for it is "bacterial SSU rRNA". It matches the Rfam family "Bacterial small subunit ribosomal RNA", at positions 8 to 488 of the family's 1533-position model. The record is from RNAcentral. Lineage: Bacteria; Pseudomonadati; Pseudomonadota; Alphaproteobacteria; Hyphomicrobiales; Rhizobiaceae.
AGAGUUUGAUCCUGGCUCAGAACGAACGCUGGCGGCAGGCUUAACACAUGCAAGUCGAACGCCCCGCAAGGGGAGUGGCAGACGGGUGAGUAACGCGUGGGAAUCUACCGUGCCCUGCGGAAUAGCUCCGGGAAACUGGAAUUAAUACCGCAUACGCCCUACGGGGGAAAGAUUUAUCGGGGUAUGAUGAGCCCGCGUUGGAUUAGCUAGUUGGUGGGGUAAUGGCCUACCAAGGCGACGAUCCAUAGCUGGUCUGAGAGGAUGAUCAGCCACAUUGGGACUGAGACACGGCCCAAACUCCUACGGGAGGCAGCAGUGGGGAAUAUUGGACAAUGGGCGCAAGCCUGAUCCAGCCAUGCCGCGUGAGUGAUGAAGGCCCUAGGGUUGUAAAGCUCUUUCACCGGUGAAGAUAAUGACGGAACCGAGAAGA